GUGGCCCUGAAUCAAGGCCAGCAGUUUGUUGUAGCUGCUGGUUUCAAACAGGAGCCUAAAGAGAAACCUUUGUAGAUCCUGGUAGCCAUUUCAGAACUUUGGACAUGUAAGGGUCAAUUUAUUAGAAAGAAAUAGCU
Molecule: small nucleolar RNA, 137 nt
Organism: Cavia aperea (Brazilian guinea pig)
Lineage: Eukaryota; Metazoa; Chordata; Mammalia; Rodentia; Caviidae
Source: Ensembl